RNAcentral lists this unclassified non-coding RNA (232 nucleotides) under soil metagenome. RNAcentral describes it as "partial internal transcribed spacer 1". The record is from RNAcentral.
UUGAAUUUUAAUGAAGAGUCUGGUUGUAGCUGGCCCAUUCAUUUGGGCAUGCGCACACCUUCCUCUUUCAUCCCACACACAUCUGUGAACCUGUGAGACAGAGACGGGGAAUUUACUUGCUGCUUUUUGGAAUACAAAGGCAAUAGGUUAUUGGACCCCCCCUCUGUCUACUCAAUUAAUAUAAACUCAAUUUAUUUUAAAACGAAUGUAAUGGAUGUAACACAUCUCAUAC